Molecule: long non-coding RNA, 671 nt
Organism: Cebus imitator (Panamanian white-faced capuchin)
Lineage: Eukaryota; Metazoa; Chordata; Mammalia; Primates; Cebidae
Exons: 3
Source: RefSeq, a predicted model, not a curated record
UCAGGGGUUGGCCAAUGACCAGGCCGCCCGGGAUGAGCUAAUAAUGGAAGCAAUUUGUAACUUUCAGUAGCUCUCUAGGCCUGGGUACCGGAAGGAGGGAGGCGGGCAGAGGAGAGGAGAUGGGCACCCCCAGUCCUUCCAUCCUCCUCAUUCGUCUAGGGGCAUCCGGAUCCCCUGUUUCUUAUUUCCCCUAUCACCCAGGAACUGGCAGGUCAUUUGCCCACUCCUGUUGGCCAUGGCGGCUCCAAAGCGAGAUGUGCCUGAGACAGGCUUGACCUGGCAACUGAAAAGACAUCCCUGAAAGAAGACAAAGCUCAGGUGUGAAAGGAAUGUGCAUCCCAGCCGACCAGGUGGAACAGAGCUGUCUGCUGUCUGGAACUGCGUCCUCCCAGACUAAGGCUGCAGCCGGGAAUUCCACAGACGGUUUGCCAUGGAUCAAGAUUUCUCCUGAGAAAGAGCACACAGGAAGGCUGCAGUGAGAAAUGAAGUCACUUACUACUUUCCUUAUUCCUCCAUCAGGAGGAUGAAGUCACUGCACAUUUGAGUGGGUGCUAUCAAAGCGUAGCCUCUGGCCAGCAUGGAGACAAACGUGGGCUGUGUGGCCCAUGGCUGAGUGGCUGCAAGGAAAUCUGAGAUGGUAGAUGAUUGAAUUGGUUGAAAUAAAAUUUCUG